Molecule: transfer RNA, 84 nt
Filed under: Hyphomicrobium sulfonivorans
Lineage: Bacteria; Pseudomonadati; Pseudomonadota; Alphaproteobacteria; Hyphomicrobiales; Hyphomicrobiaceae
Rfam family: tRNA
About the family: Transfer RNA (tRNA) molecules are approximately 80 nucleotides in length. Their secondary structure includes four short double-helical elements and three loops (D, anti-codon, and T loops).
Source: Rfam by way of RNAcentral
GCCCGAGUGGUGGAACUGGUAGACGCACGGGACUCAAAAUCCCGCAUCCGCAAGGGUAUGUCGGUUCAAGUCCGACCUCGGGCA